RNAcentral lists this ribosomal RNA (497 nucleotides) under uncultured bacterium. RNAcentral describes it as "partial 16S ribosomal RNA". It matches the Rfam family "Bacterial small subunit ribosomal RNA", at positions 28 to 507 of the family's 1533-position model. The record is from RNAcentral.
GACGAACGCUGGCGGCGUGCCUAAUACAUGCAAGUUGAGCGCUGAAGGUUGGUACUUGUACCAACUGGAUGAGCAGCGAACGGGUGAAUAACGCGUGGGGAAUCUGCCUUUGAGCGGGGGACAACAUUUGGAAACGAAUGCUAAUACCGCAUAAAAACUUUAAACACAAGUUUUAAGUUUGAAAGAUGCAAUUGCAUCACUCAAAGAUGAUCCCGCGUUGUAUUAGCUAGUUGGUGAGGUAAAGGCUCACCAAGGCGAUGAUACAUAGCCGACCUGAGAGGGUGAUCGGCCACAUUGGGACUGAGACACGGCCCAAACUCCUACGGGAGGCAGCAGUAGGGAAUCUUCGGCAAUGGACGAAAGUCUGACCGAGCAACGCCGCGUGAGUGAAGAAGGUUUUCGGAUCGUAAAACUCUGUUGGUAGAGAAGAACGCUGGUGAGAGUGGAAAGCUCAUCAAGUGACGGUAACUACCCAGAAAGGGACGGCUAACUACGUG